CGACCGGCGCACGGGUGAGUAACACGUAUGCAAUCCACCUGUAACAGGGGGAUAACCCGGAGAAAUCCGGACUAAUACCCCAUAAUAUGGGCUCUCCGCAUGGAGGGUCCAUUAAAGAGAGCAAUUUUGGUUACAGACGAGCAUGCGCUCCAUUAGCCAGUUGGCGGGGUAACGGCCCACCAAAGCGACGAUGGAUAGGGGUUCUGAGAGGAAGGUCCCCCACAUUGGAACUGAGACACGGUCCAA
This 246-nucleotide ribosomal RNA is filed under the name uncultured bacterium. RNAcentral's name for it is "partial 16S ribosomal RNA". It matches the Rfam family "Bacterial small subunit ribosomal RNA", at positions 92 to 334 of the family's 1533-position model. The record is from RNAcentral.